GAAAUGCGAUACGUAAUGUGAAUUGCGGAAUUCAGUGAAUCAUCGAAUCUUUGAACGCAUAUUGCGCUCUCUGGUAUUCCGGAGAGCAUGCUUGUUUGAGUAUCAGUAAACACCUCAACUCCCCUUUUCUUUUUCUGAAAUGGUGGAGCUGGACUUUUCUCUGAGCUAUAAGCAUAUCCUAUUUAGUCUGCCUUAAAAACAGAUUAUUACCUUUGCUGCAGCUAACAUAAAGGAGAUUAGUUCUUGUGCUGACUGAUGCAGGAUUCACAGAGAGACAGCUUCGCGGCUGACUUUGUAAACUCGAUCUCAAAUCAAGUAAGACUACCCGCUGAACUUAA
Molecule: unclassified non-coding RNA, 338 nt
Filed under: uncultured fungus
Lineage: Eukaryota; Fungi
Description: sequence contains ITS1
Rfam family: 5.8S ribosomal RNA (bases 1-105)
Source: RNAcentral